UGGACCAAAAGUCUGAUCCAGCAAUUCUGUGUGCACGAUGAAGGUCUUCGGAUUGUAAAGUGCUUUCAGUUGGGAAGAAGAAAGUGACGGUACCAACAGAAGAAGCGACGGCUAAAUACGUGCCAGCAGCCGCGGUAAUACGUAUGUCGCAAGCGUUAUCCGGAUUUAUUGGGCGUAAAGCGCGUCUAGGCGGAAAAAUAAGUCUGAUGUUAAAAUGCGGGGCUCAACUCCGUAUUGCGUUGGAAACUGUUUUUCUAGAGUACUGGAGAGGUGGGCGGAACUACAAGUGUAGAGGUGAAAUUCGUAGAUAUUUGUAGGAAUGCCGAUGGAGAAGUCAGCUCACUGGACAGAUACUGACGCUGAAGCGCGAAAGCGUGGGGAGCAAACAGGAUUAGAUACCCUGGUAGUCCACGCCGUAAACGAUGAUCACUAGGUGUUGGGGGUCGAACCUCA
This 453-nucleotide ribosomal RNA is filed under the name uncultured bacterium. Its description in RNAcentral is "bacterial SSU rRNA". It matches the Rfam family "Bacterial small subunit ribosomal RNA", at positions 372 to 842 of the family's 1533-position model. The record is from RNAcentral.